RNAcentral lists this transfer RNA (73 nucleotides) under Lentisphaeria bacterium. RNAcentral describes it as "tRNA-Thr". It matches the Rfam family "tRNA". From Rfam's summary of the family: Transfer RNA (tRNA) molecules are approximately 80 nucleotides in length. Their secondary structure includes four short double-helical elements and three loops (D, anti-codon, and T loops). Lineage: Bacteria; Pseudomonadati; Lentisphaerota; Lentisphaeria. The record is from RNAcentral.
GCCAAUGUAGCUCAGUCGGUAGAGCAAUUCACUCGUAAUGAAUAGGUCAUCGGUUCGAUUCCGAUCAUUGGCU